RNAcentral lists this non-coding RNA (21 nucleotides) under Arabidopsis thaliana (thale cress). Lineage: Eukaryota; Viridiplantae; Streptophyta; Magnoliopsida; Brassicales; Brassicaceae. The record is from RNAcentral.
CAAUCUUUUGAACUACGGCCA